RNAcentral lists this ribosomal RNA (466 nucleotides) under uncultured bacterium. Its description in RNAcentral is "bacterial SSU rRNA". It matches the Rfam family "Bacterial small subunit ribosomal RNA", at positions 9 to 484 of the family's 1533-position model. The record is from RNAcentral.
GAGUUUGAUCGUGGCUCAGGAUAAACGCUGGCGGCGCACAUAAGACAUGCAAGUCGAACGAACUUAAUCCUUAGUUUACUAUGGAAGCGGUUAGUGGCGGACUGGUGAGUAACACGUAAGCAACCUGCCUAUCAGAGGGGAACAACAGUUAGAAAUGACUGCUAAUACCGCAUAUGCCUUAACUACCGCAUGGUAGAAGAGGGAAAGGAGCAAUCCGCUGAUAGAUGGGCUUGCGUCUGAUUAGAUAGUUGGUGUGGUAACGGCAUACCAAGUCGACGAUCAGUAGCCGGACUGAGAGGUUGAACGGCCACAUUGGGACUGAGAUACGGCCCAGACUCCUACGGGAGGCAGCAGUCGGGAAUAUUGCGCAAUGGAGGAAACUCUGACGCAGUGACGCCGCGUGCAGGAAGAAGGUUUUCGGAUUGUAAACUGCUUUAGACAGGGAAGAAAAAGACAGUACCUGUAG